This 71-nucleotide ribosomal RNA is filed under the name Lentilactobacillus parakefiri. RNAcentral describes it as "Lactobacillus parakefiri partial 16S ribosomal RNA". The record is from RNAcentral. Lineage: Bacteria; Bacillati; Bacillota; Bacilli; Lactobacillales; Lactobacillaceae.
CGAACGCGUCUYGGCCAAUGAUUUCAGGUGCUUGCAUUUGAAAGAUUUGACAUUGAGACGAGUGGCGAACU